GUCCACGCUGUAAACGAUGAGUGCUAGAUGUCGCGGGUAUUGACCCCUGCGGUGUCGUAAGCUAACGCAUUAAGCACUCCGCCUGGGGAGUACGGCCGCAAGGCUAAACUCAAAGGAAUUGACGGGGGCCCGGCACAAGCGGUGGAGCAUGUGGUUCAAUUCGACGCAACGCGAAGAACCUUACCUGGGUUAAAUCCACUCGAAUCCUGCAGAGAUGUGGGAGUGCCCUUCGGGAAGUGAGUGAGACGGUGCUGCAUGGCUGUCGU
RNAcentral lists this ribosomal RNA (266 nucleotides) under uncultured bacterium. RNAcentral's name for it is "partial 16S ribosomal RNA". It matches the Rfam family "Bacterial small subunit ribosomal RNA", at positions 793 to 1055 of the family's 1533-position model. The record is from RNAcentral.